UUUGGUGGGUUUUGAGUGAAAUCCAAUCUCUACAACUAUGCAAUAAACCAACCACUCCAUUUCAUAACGAACUUCGCACGAACCUGAAUUCUCCAAUUUCAUGGACCAAUCGAUAUCUGAUUGAGUCCAAAACUUUGGGAGCAACAUAAUAUGAUGGGAGGAGACAUUUGGUGACUUUUGAGUGAAAUCCAAUGGCUAAAACUAUGUAAUACACUAACC
This 219-nucleotide long non-coding RNA is filed under the name Prunus persica (peach). RNAcentral describes it as "long non-coding RNA (PPER_LNC003391)". The record is from RNAcentral. Lineage: Eukaryota; Viridiplantae; Streptophyta; Magnoliopsida; Rosales; Rosaceae.